Molecule: transfer RNA, 73 nt
Filed under: Cordylochernes scorpioides
Lineage: Eukaryota; Metazoa; Arthropoda; Arachnida; Pseudoscorpiones; Chernetidae
Description: tRNA-Thr
Rfam family: tRNA
About the family: Transfer RNA (tRNA) molecules are approximately 80 nucleotides in length.
Source: RNAcentral
UCCAGGGUAGCCUAGUGGACAUGGCAUCUGCCCUGUAAGUGGAACACUGUGGGUUCGAUUACCAUCCCUGGAU